CUCCCUGUGUCCCAGGAAUGCCUUCCUGGCUGGCAGUGGGGAAUUUUGCUCAGGAGUCUGUGGGAUGUGGCCCAGAGCUGCAGAUAGAAAUGCUGAAAGCAAAUGUCCCCCGAUUGCUACUUGCUGYCUUAUAAAAAGCUGAAGCCGAAAUGAACUUCCAAAGAGAUUGAAUUAAUAGUGUCCUUGUGAAGGAGUAACCUGAAGAAUUUACCCAUCCACCAAAAGUAAAAGCAAAUUUCAACCAAUAGACACUGUGUGACUUGAAAAGACAGGUUGGAGGUGAGUUUUGGAGGCUUUGGACUCGGUGUUUCCAGGCCGUGUGAGAGGAGUGAGUUUUGGAUCUGGCCUGGAUGACAGUGAAGAGCACCUGCUCCAUGAAUCUUGUGUUUGGGUGAGGCCUGAGUGCUCCCUCCUGGUAACCUGGAACCCUGGUGCCCUCCUGCUGGGAGGAGAGCUC
Long non-coding RNA from Nothoprocta perdicaria, 457 nucleotides. RefSeq lists it as uncharacterized. NCBI's taxonomy places the organism in Eukaryota, Metazoa, Chordata, Aves, Tinamiformes, Tinamidae. The transcript has 2 exons. The record is from RefSeq and is a predicted model, not a curated record.